RNAcentral lists this long non-coding RNA (380 nucleotides) under Nicotiana benthamiana. RNAcentral's name for it is "long non-coding RNA (NBEN_LNC009601)". Lineage: Eukaryota; Viridiplantae; Streptophyta; Magnoliopsida; Solanales; Solanaceae. The record is from RNAcentral.
GCUCCAGAUUCCUCAGGAUAUGAAUUCCCAGAAGUAACAUUUGGAAUCUCCCCGAGAAGUUUCUCAAACUCAUCAUUUUCCAGUUCAUUUACUCCAUUCUCCAUUUCCGUAACAAUAGGCAGCAUCAAGAUUACUCUUCACUAGUCACUAAGUGAGCAAUGUUCAUCGACCUCAGGAGACUGUUUCUUCUGUACGACAAAAAAGAGAACAGAAAUUGAGUCAAAGUACAUCUGAACAAUAGGCAGCAUCAAGAUUACUCUUCAACAGUCACUAAGUGAGCAACGUUCAUCGACCUCAGGAGACUGUCAGUGUUUCUUCUGUACGACAACAAAGAGAACAGAAAAUGAGUCAAAGUACAUAGUCAGUACAAAUAUUAUAUA